CAGUUGUGGACAUAGACAUGGGGACACUGGGACAUUUAGGGACACUGGGAGACAUGGGGACACGAGGCACACUGAGACACUAGGAACACAGACACUGGGAGACAUGGGGACACUGUCCCCAUGUUUUCCAGUGUCCCCAAGUGUCUCAGUGUCUCCCAGUGUCUGUGUCCCCAUGUGA
Non-coding RNA from Pelobates cultripes (western spadefoot toad), 178 nucleotides. Lineage: Eukaryota; Metazoa; Chordata; Amphibia; Anura; Pelobatidae. The record is from the annotation of a GenBank genome assembly.